AGAGUUUGGAUCCUGGCUCAGGAUGAACGCUAGCGGCAGGCUUAAUACAUGCAAGUCGAGGGGCAGCAGGGGUAGCAAUACCCGCUGGCGACCGGCAAACGGGUGCGGAACACGUACGCAACCUUCCUUUAACUGGAGAAUAGCCCCUCGAAAGAGGGAUUAAUACUCCGUAACAUAUUGAUAAGGCAUCUUAUUAAUAUUAUAGUCUUCGGGCGGUUAAAGAUGGGCGUGCGCCUGAUUAGAUAGUUGGUGAGGUAACGGCUCACCAAGUCUGCGAUCAGUAACUGGUGUGAGAGCACGACCAGUCACACGGGCACUGAGACACGGGCCCGACUCCUACGGGAGGCAGCAGUAAGGAAUAUUGGUCAAUGGACGCAAGUCUGAACCAGCCAUGCCGCGUGGAGGAUUAAGGCCCUCUGGGUUGUAAACUCCUUUUAUCUGGGAAGAAAUGCCAUUUUUCUAAAUGGUUUGACGGUACCAGAGGAAUAAGCACCGGCUAACUCCGUGCCAGCAGCCGCGGUAAUACGGAGGGUGCAAGCGUUAUCCGGAUUCACUGGGUUUAAAGGGUGCGUAGGCGGGCAGGUAAGUCCGUGGUGAAAUCUCUGAGCUUAACUCAGAAACUGCCAUGGAUACUAUUUGUCUUGAAUACUGUGGGAGGUAAGCGGAAUAUGUCAUGUAAGCGGGGGAAAUGCUUAGAUAUGACAAUGGGGACACCAAUUGCGGAAGGCAGCUUACUACACAGUAU
This 745-nucleotide ribosomal RNA is filed under the name uncultured Bacteroidota bacterium. Its description in RNAcentral is "bacterial SSU rRNA". It matches the Rfam family "Bacterial small subunit ribosomal RNA", at positions 8 to 740 of the family's 1533-position model. The record is from RNAcentral. Lineage: Bacteria; Pseudomonadati; Bacteroidota.